UGGUGGGGUGACUUGUCUGCCUAAUCGCGAUAACGAACGAGACCGCGACCGCUAAAUAGCCCGCAUUGCUUUGGCAGUGUGCUGGCUUCUUAGUGGGACUAUCGGCUCAAGCCGAUGGAAGUACGCGUCAAUAACA
RNAcentral lists this ribosomal RNA (136 nucleotides) under uncultured eukaryote. Its description in RNAcentral is "partial 18S ribosomal RNA". It matches the Rfam family "Eukaryotic small subunit ribosomal RNA", at positions 1299 to 1458 of the family's 1831-position model. The record is from RNAcentral.